Molecule: ribosomal RNA, 572 nt
Filed under: Trichoderma virens
Lineage: Eukaryota; Fungi; Ascomycota; Sordariomycetes; Hypocreales; Hypocreaceae
Description: eukaryotic LSU rRNA
Rfam family: 5.8S ribosomal RNA (bases 201-354)
Source: RNAcentral
CCGAGUUUACAACUCCCAAACCCAAUGUGAACGUUACCAAACUGUUGCCUCGGCGGGAUCUCUGCCCCGGGUGCGUCGCAGCCCCGGACCAAGGCGCCCGCCGGAGGACCAACCAAAACUCUUAUUGUAUACCCCCUCGCGGGUUUUUUACUAUCUGAGCCAUCUCGGCGCCCCUCGUGGGCGUUUCGAAAAUGAAUCAAAACUUUCAACAACGGAUCUCUUGGUUCUGGCAUCGAUGAAGAACGCAGCGAAAUGCGAUAAGUAAUGUGAAUUGCAGAAUUCAGUGAAUCAUCGAAUCUUUGAACGCACAUUGCGCCCGCCAGUAUUCUGGCGGGCAUGCCUGUCCGAGCGUCAUUUCAACCCUCGAACCCCUCCGGGGGGUCGGCGUUGGGGAUCGGCCCUUUACGGGGCCGGCCCCGAAAUACAGUGGCGGUCUCGCCGCAGCCUCUCCUGCGCAGUAGUUUGCACACUCGCAUCGGGAGCGCGGCGCGUCCACAGCCGUUAAACACCCCAAACUUCUGAAAUGUUGACCUCGGAUCAGGUAGGAAUACCCGCUGAACUUAAGCAUAUCA